Molecule: ribosomal RNA, 505 nt
Filed under: uncultured bacterium
Lineage: Bacteria
Description: bacterial SSU rRNA
Rfam family: Bacterial small subunit ribosomal RNA
Source: RNAcentral
AACGAACGCUGGCGGCGUGCUUAAGACAUGCAAGUCGUGCGAGAAAGCCACCUUCGGGUGGUGAGUAAAGCGGCGCACGGGUGAGUAACGCGUGGAUAAUCUACCUGUAGGUCUGGGAUAACUCCGGGAAACUGGGGCUAAUACCGGAUAAGACCACGGGGCCUUCGGGUCUCGCGGAAAAAGGUGGCCUCUUCUUGAAAGCUACCGCCUAUCGAUGAGUCCGCGUCCCAUUAGCUUGUUGGCGAGGUAAAAGCUCACCAAGGCUUCGAUGGGUAGCUGGUCUGAGAGGAUGAUCAGCCACACUGGAACUGAGACACGGUCCAGACUCCUGCGGGAGGCAGCAGUCGGGAAUUUUGGGCAAUGGGGGAAACCCUGACCCAGCAACGCCGCGUGAGGGAUGAAGGCCCUCGGGUCGUAAACCUCUGUCGGAAGGGAAGAAAGGUCUCCGUUCGAAUAGAGCGGGGGCUUGACGGUACCUUCAAAGGAAGCACCGGCUAACUCCGUG